This 253-nucleotide ribosomal RNA is filed under the name uncultured bacterium. RNAcentral describes it as "partial 16S ribosomal RNA". It matches the Rfam family "Bacterial small subunit ribosomal RNA", at positions 524 to 776 of the family's 1533-position model. The record is from RNAcentral.
UACAGAGGGUGCGAGCGUUAAUCGGAAUUACUGGGCGUAAAGCGAGCGUAGUCGGUUAUUUAAGUCGGGUGUGAAAUCCCCGGACUCAACCUGGGAAUUGCAUUCGAUACUGGAUAGCUAGAGUUCGGCAGAGGGAAGCGGAAUUUCCGGUGUAGCGGUGAAAUGCGUAGAUAUCGGAAGGAACAUCAGUGGCGAAAGCGGCUUCCUGGACCAGAACUGACGAUCAGGCUCGAAAGCGUGGGGAGCAAACAGG